RNAcentral lists this unclassified non-coding RNA (1404 nucleotides) under Leishmania donovani. RNAcentral describes it as "gene:LdHU3.28.1870(CDS-product:haloacid_dehalogen ase-like_hydrolase_putative)". The record is from RNAcentral. Lineage: Eukaryota; Euglenozoa; Kinetoplastea; Trypanosomatida; Trypanosomatidae.
UCUCAGCCACCCGUCCCCGGCGUGCGAGCAGCUUCUUUCUUGCACCAGAAGACGCCCACAGCACGCCGUGAACGCCGCGGCAUAUAAAUGAACGCGCGCUCACACACACGUUAAGACAAACCCUAUCGGCAACUGCCCACAUCCCUUCCCCCUUCCUUGCCCCACUUGUCAAUGCGACACGAGCACUCGCCAUUGCAGCCUUCACAGAAGCUCCCUCCGCUGGCUGCUCUCCCCCUCACCUUCGCCGACUCUAUCCUUCUUUCUCUGCAGUAUCCAUGACCAGAAUGCCCAUCAAGGCCGUUGUCACCGACCUCGAUGGCACGCUGCUCAACCCGCAGCACUGCAUCAGCAACUACACCGCCGAAGUCCUGAAAAAGAUCAAGGAAAAGGGCAUCUGCUUUGUCGUGGCCACCGGUCGCCCGUAUGCGGAGGUCUUCAGCAGGAUUCGCCAUUGCCACCUGGCGCCGGACUACAUUAUCACCAGCAACGGCGCCCGCAUCCACGAUGGCGCGUUCAACGUCGUGCGUGAGCACAACAUUCGGCCGGAGCUCGUGGAGUCGCUCGCGCGGAUGCGCACGGUCAAGGACCCUGCGACUGGCGCCGAGCUCCCGAAAAAGUUCACCACGAACAUCUACCGCGGGAUAGAGUGGCUGACCGACAAGAGCAUCCCAGAGGUGAACAAAGCCUUUCACAUGGACUUCCAGUGCACAGACCUUCGUGAGCGCUUCUACGAGCUGCAGGCAUCGGAGCUCGGUGAGGUGCAUGAGAUCUGGUUCGCUGGAGACCACGACGAGCUCGUGCUGCUGGAUAGUGCGCUCCGAGAGAAGUACCCAGGCGACCUGUGCUGCACCUUUUCCCUUCCCUACCUACUGGACUGUGUACCGGCCGGCGUCAAUAAGGGCAGUGGUGUGCGGGAGGUGGCAGAGGUGCUGGGGUUGGCGCUGGACGAGGUGGCCUGCUUCGGCGACGGCAUGAACGACGAGUCGAUGCUGCAGGUGACCUCGGCAUCCUUUAUUAUGGCAAAUGGUCAGCAACGUUUGAAGGACGCCGUGCCGCACGCGCAGAUCAUCGGCAGCAACGCCGACGAUGGUGUGGCCAAGAAGCUGGAGGAGAUCUUUUUCUCGUCCUAGAUGCGAUCAUCUGCCUGCCAGGUAAAUUUAUCCACAGGGGUGUGGAGGCGACAGCACACCGCGCAGAAGAAGAGAGAAAAGGGGGAGGAGCUCACAGGUAUUGUCAAAAGAUCAGACGAGGGAGUCUAUCGGCCCUCUUGGCACCUACAUGCUGCCACAGUCUGCCGGAUAGGCUAUGCAGAGGGUCGUGUGUCUGCGUUCAUCUCUUUCCACCCCUCUCCGUCAUGCCCUGAUCCCGUUUCCUCUCUCUCUUCAUCGCAUUUUAUUGAGGCUG